RNAcentral lists this ribosomal RNA (795 nucleotides) under uncultured bacterium. Its description in RNAcentral is "bacterial SSU rRNA". It matches the Rfam family "Bacterial small subunit ribosomal RNA", at positions 8 to 796 of the family's 1533-position model. The record is from RNAcentral.
AGAGUUUGAUCCUGGCUCAGGACGAACGCUGGCGGCGUGCCUAACACAUGCAAGUCGAGCGGAGAUUGUAGCAAUACAAUCUUAGCGGCGGACGGGUGAGUAACGCGUGGGCAACCUGCCUUUUACAGGGGGAUAACACAGGGAAACUUGUGCUAAUACCGCAUAACAUAUCGAUAUGGCAUCGUAUUGAUAUCAAAGGAGUAAUCCGGUAAAAGAUGGGCCCGCGUCCAAUUAGCUAGUUGGUAGGGUAAUGGCCUACCAAGGCUACGAUGGUUAGCUGGUCUGAGAGGAUGAUCAGCCACACUGGAACUGAGACACGGUCCAGACUCCUACGGGAGGCAGCAGUGAGGAAUAUUGCGCAAUGGGGGCAACCCUGACGCAGCAACGCCGCGUGAGUGAGGAAGAUUUUCGGACCGUAAAGCUCUGUCGAGUGGGAAGAAAUGUGUCAUGGCUAAUAUCCAUGAUACUUGACGGUACCGCUAAAGGAAGCACCGGCUAACUCCGUGCCAGCAGCCGCGGUAAUACGGGGGGUGCAAGCGUUGUUCGGAAUUAUUGGGCGUAAAGAGCGUGUAGGCGGCUGAAUAAGUCAGAUGUGAAAUCCCUGGGCUUAACCCAGGACGUGCAUUUGAAACUAUUCAGCUUGAGUAGGGGAGAGGAAAGUGGAAUUCCUGGUGUAGAGGUGAAAUUCGUAGAUAUCAGGAGGAACACCGGUGGCGAAGGCGACUUUCUGGCCCUAUACUGACGCUGAGACGCGAGAGCGUGGGUAGCAAACAGGAUUAGAUACCCUGGUAGUCC